This 104-nucleotide ribosomal RNA is filed under the name uncultured bacterium. RNAcentral describes it as "partial 16S ribosomal RNA". It matches the Rfam family "Bacterial small subunit ribosomal RNA", at positions 1379 to 1482 of the family's 1533-position model. The record is from RNAcentral.
CCUUGUACACACCGCCCGUCACGUCAUGGGAGUAGAUUGUACCAGAAGCAGGUAGUUUAACUGAAAAGGGGACGCUUGCCACGGUAUGGUUUAUGACUGGGACG